This 397-nucleotide ribosomal RNA is filed under the name uncultured bacterium. RNAcentral describes it as "partial 16S ribosomal RNA". It matches the Rfam family "Bacterial small subunit ribosomal RNA", at positions 523 to 918 of the family's 1533-position model. The record is from RNAcentral.
AUACGUAGGUGGCAAGCGUUGUCCGGAUUUAUUGGGCGUAAAGCGAGCGCAGGCGGUCUCUUAAGUCUGAUGUGAAGGCCCCCGGCUCAACCGGGGAGGGUCAUUGGAAACUGGGAGACUUGAGUGCAGAAGAGGAGAGUGGAAUUCCAUGUGUAGCGGUGAAAUGCGUAGAUAUAUGGUGGAACACCAGUGGCGAAGGCGGGUUUUUGGUCUGCAAGUGACGAUGCGGCCGGAAAGCGUGGGGAGCAAACAGGACUGGAUCCCCCGGUAGUCCACGCCGUAAACGAUGAGUUCUAAGUGUUGGAGGGUUUCCGCCCAUCAGUGCUGCAGCUAACACAUUAAGCACUCCGCCUGGGGAGUACGGCCGCAAGGCUGAAACUCAAACGAAUUGACCGGG